GAUGAACGCUGGCGGCGUGCCUAAUACAUGCAAGUCGAGCGAACAGAUGAGGAGCUUGCUCCUCUGACGUUAGCGGCGGACGGGUGAGUAACACGUGGAUAACCUACCUAUAAGACUGGGAUAACUUCGGGAAACCGGAGCUAAUACCGGAUAAUAUAUUGAACCGCAUGGUUCAAUAGUGAAAGACGGUUUUGCUGUCACUUAUAGAUGGAUCCGCGCCGCAUUAGCUAGUUGGUAAGGUAACGGCUUACCAAGGCAACGAUGCGUAGCCGACCUGAGAGGUUGAUCGGCCACACUGGAACUGAGACACGGUCCAGACUCCGACGGGAGGCAGCAGUAGGGAAUCUUCCGCACUGGGCGGAAGCCGGACGGAGCAACGCCGCGUGAGUGAUGAAGGUCCUCGGAUCGUAAAACUUUGUUAUUAGGGAAGAACAAUUGGGUAAGUAACUAUGCACGUAUUGACGGUACCUAAUCAGAAAGCCACGGCUAACUACGUG
This 497-nucleotide ribosomal RNA is filed under the name uncultured bacterium. RNAcentral describes it as "partial 16S ribosomal RNA". It matches the Rfam family "Bacterial small subunit ribosomal RNA", at positions 28 to 507 of the family's 1533-position model. The record is from RNAcentral.